CAUAGUGUAGUGCAAAACUAAGAGGGGGCUGUGGCUCUGAAAUGGCCAGUAAGGAACUCAGUAACGAUGUGAAUAUGCUUGGAAGCAGACAUUCCCUUAGUGGACCAUUCAGAAACUCAACUACCCCAGUUCGCGAGCACCCACAGAAGAAGAGAGACUACAGGUCGGUUUCCUUCAGAUGGCGCCCAACAUGGGGCGAACACGAGAAAAUUUGAGAGACCCUACCACAAGAUACAGAGCUCUGGUUUAUUAAAGAAAAAAAGAUCCAGAUCUAUGUAGUCGUUCUCACGGCAAAGGUUAGGCUGGAAAGAAGGACCACGGUAGAAACUACUGGAUCCACUCAAGCACUGUAAGUUUGAGAAGAAAUGCCAGGGACUCAAAGGACCAGCUCCAUAAUGAAGGAUAUAAAUUAAAUAGAAGGCUGAAGUGAUGACUCAGUGGUUAAGGACAUUGGCUUCUUUUACAGAGGACCCAGGUUUGAUUCGCAGCACUUGCAUGGCAGUUCACACUUCCUGUAGUAACUCUAGUCUUAUGGUAUCUAGCACCCUCUUCUGGCCUCUGUGAGCACUAUACCCAUGGUACA
Mastomys coucha (southern multimammate mouse) is the source of this 583-nucleotide long non-coding RNA. RefSeq lists it as uncharacterized. The transcript has 3 exons. NCBI's taxonomy places the organism in Eukaryota, Metazoa, Chordata, Mammalia, Rodentia, Muridae. The record is from RefSeq and is a predicted model, not a curated record.